UGGGGAAUAUUGGACAAUGGGGGAAACCCUGAUCCAGCGACGCCGCGUGUGUGAAGAAGGCCUGCGGGUUGUAAAGCACUUUUAGUGGGGAUGAAAAGCUCAGGGCUAAUACCUCUGGGUCUUGACCUAACCCAAAGAAAAAGCACCGGCUAACUCUGUGCCAGCAGCCGCGGUAAUACAGAGGGUGCGAGCGUUAAUCGGAAUUACUGGGCGUAAAGCGUGCGUAGACGGUUAUGUAAGUCGGGUGUGAAAGCCCCGGGCUCAACCUGGGAAUUGCAUUCGAGACUGCAUAGCUAGGGUGCGGAAGAGGGAAGCGGAAUUUCAGGUGUAGCGGUGAAAUGCGUAGAUAUCUGAAGGAACACCAGUGGCGAAAGCGGCUUCCUGGUCCAGCACCGACGUUCAGGCACGAAAGCGUGGGGAGCAAACAGGAUUAGAUACCCCCGUAGUCC
Molecule: ribosomal RNA, 449 nt
Filed under: uncultured bacterium
Lineage: Bacteria
Description: bacterial SSU rRNA
Rfam family: Bacterial small subunit ribosomal RNA
Source: RNAcentral